CAGGGAAUAUUGUGCAAUGAACGAAAGUUUGACACAGCGACACCGCGUGUGGGAUGACGGAUCUAGGUUUGUAAACCACUUUCAGGAGGGAAGAAAAUGACGGUACCUCCACAAGAAGCCCCGGCCAACUACGUGCCAGCAGCCGCGGUAAUACGUAGGGGGCGAGCGUUGUCCGGAUUUAUUGGGCGUAAAGAGCUCGUAGGCGGUUCAACAAGUCGGUAGUAAAAGUUCAGGGCUCAACCCUGAAAUGUCUAUCGAUACUGUUGUGACUAGGAUACGGCAGAGGUGAGUGGAAUUCCGAGUGUAGCGGUGAAAUGCGUAGAUAUUCGGAGGAACACCAAUUGCGAAGGCAGCUCACUGGGCCGCUAUCGACGCUGAGGAGCGAAAGCUAGGGGAGCAAACAGGAUUAGAUACCCUGGUAGUCCUAGCUGUAAACGAUGGAUACUAGACGUAGGAACUGGAUUGACGGUUUCUGUGUCGUAGCUAACGC
RNAcentral lists this ribosomal RNA (490 nucleotides) under uncultured Actinomycetes bacterium. Its description in RNAcentral is "bacterial SSU rRNA". It matches the Rfam family "Bacterial small subunit ribosomal RNA", at positions 355 to 858 of the family's 1533-position model. The record is from RNAcentral. Lineage: Bacteria; Bacillati; Actinomycetota; Actinomycetes.